RNAcentral lists this ribosomal RNA (497 nucleotides) under uncultured bacterium. Its description in RNAcentral is "partial 16S ribosomal RNA". It matches the Rfam family "Bacterial small subunit ribosomal RNA", at positions 28 to 507 of the family's 1533-position model. The record is from RNAcentral.
GACGAACGCUGGCGGCGUGCCUAAUACAUGCAAGUAGAACGCUGAAGUGAGGAGCUUGCUCUUCUUGGUUGAGUUGCGAACGGGUGAGUAACGCGUCGGUAACCUGCCUUGUAGCGGGGGAUAAUAAUUGGAAACGAUAGCUAAUACCGCAUAGCAAUGGAUGACACAUGCCAUUUAUUUGAAAGGGGGAAUUGUUCCACUACAAGAUGGACCUGCGUUGUAUUAGAUAGUAGGUGAGGUAAUGGCUCACCUAGGCGACGAUACAUAGCCGACCAGAGAGGGUGAUCGGCCACGCUGGUACUGAGACACGGCCCAGACUCCUACGGGUGGCAGAAGUCGGGAAUCUUCGGCGAUGGGAGCAACCCUGACCGAGCAACGCCGGGGGAGUGAAGAAGGUUUUCGGAUCGUAAAGCUCUGUUGUAAGUCAAGAACGGGUGUGAGAGUGGAAAGUUCACACUGUGACGGUAGCUUACCAAAAAGGGACGGCUAACUACGUG